This 64-nucleotide transfer RNA is filed under the name Andrena angustior. Its description in RNAcentral is "tRNA-Asn". Lineage: Eukaryota; Metazoa; Arthropoda; Insecta; Hymenoptera; Andrenidae. The record is from RNAcentral.
UUAAUUGAAACCAAAAAGAGGUAAAUUAUUGUUAAUAAUUUUAAUGAUUAAAAAUCCAAUUAAA